ACUUGUGUUUUUUUUUCUUGUUGUGCACUCAGAUAUACACUAAGUAAUGCAUUUAGAAAAGUCAAAAUAUCUUAUAAUUUGGAAACCAGUACAGUAUGACAAGUGGCGUUCUUUUAAUUGUUAUUAUGAAAAUGUUCUUUUCCAUGAAGCACACAUAACACAUACCGAAUUACCGAUCAAUCUGUCUCCACUUGACAAGAAAUAUUCUCUUUUCCAAACAGGUUACAGGUCCACAUCAUUAAGGUAUGACAUAGUUGCAGAAACACCACUGCACAUAUGUGAAAACUGAAAGUUAGGGCUCAAGGGGCGACUGUGUUUUGCUAGUCAACGGCUAAGUUGAUGUGUGAGAUCCAACUCAGCUCACGGAUCUGGCCAGGCAAGACUUGCUUUCCAAUGUCCCAAACUCUGUUCAUGCCUAGCUGAUAUCCCCAUCUGUUCCCAUGAGGUUGCACAAUUCCUUCCAGCAUUAGCAUCACCAAUCACUAGCCUGCUACCACAGACAAACAAGCUGGAGUAUCUAGGAGAGACAGGCAGGGGAGAAGCAAUUGCAGACCAUGCAGUGAGCUUGGCCAAGUCGGUGGAGGGGGCUGUGACCAAGGCACUGGCGGCAAUUGAGGAGGAGGCAACCCUGAGGAAGAGCACGCAGAAUGACCUGGCAUUCAUCACUGGUGAGUUCCAGAUGAUGCAAUCCUUUCUCAAUGUCGCAGACGAGGAACGCGCCAGGAACAACGUGGUGAGGACCUGGGUGAGACAGGUCCGUGACCUCGCCUACAACGUGGAGGACUGCAUCGAGUAUGUGAUCCACCUGGACAAGGCAUCAGACUGACGCUGCCGCUGCCUCCCAGGCUUCAUCAGGCCCGAGCUGCCGCUGGACAAGGCGAUUGCUGAGAUAAAGCUGCUCAAGAUCAGGGUUGAGGAGGUGAGCCUUCGGAACAUGCGCUACAACCUCAUCAGUGAUUCAGGUUCCAAGCCCAUCAUGCAGCAACAGUUGGUGCCUGGUGCUUCUGUUGGUGCCACAACAUUUGACAUGCUCAUCAAAGCAAGAGAUACCACAAAGAUGCAACGAGGAUUAGGAGAUCUAACUAAGCUGUUGAUCACCAAGAAACCCAGUGGCAACCUUGGACUCGGGGUGAUCUCGUUGUGGGCGGCAGAUGGUAAUGCUAAUACCACACCCGUCAUCAGGGAGGCCUAUGGCGAACCAGAAGUAUUUGAAAGCUCCGGACAUCGUGGCUGGGCAAAGCUGAUGCAUCCUUUCAAUCCCCACGAGUUCCAGUUCCAGCGGAGUUUGCUGAUUCAGUUCCACACAAACUCUUGCCUACACAACAAACUGGGCGUAGACGUAGGUACACUCAAGAGAUUGGGAGUGGCUGCAGAAGGCGAACUUAUUGAAGAGUUCAUGGAUCAAAUGAAGAAGUGAUACCUGGUUGUCCUGGAAAAUGUUUCCAGUAUGGUAGAGUGGGACACUGUCAGAGCAUACCUGCCUGAAGCGAAAAACGACAGUUGGGUCAUCAUCUCCUCGCAGCAAUCUGAAGUCGCCGGGCUGUGCGUUGGAGAUCCAUGGCAAGUGUUUGAACUUAAGCAGUCCUCAGCUGAACACUCUGUAUGUGUCUUCUUCAGGGAGGUAAGCAGCUGAAACACGAUGGAAUAACUUUCUGGAAAAAAUGGCCUUAAUCUCUUUUGUUCUUCUUUUGGACAUCAGUAGUUUCCUGUAAACAACAUUGAUUUACAUAUUCUAAUCAUAUGCUAGAAAAAAUUAAUUUAAAACUAUUGAUAGAUAUAGAAGUACUUUGAUUAAAAAUGUACAGUAGCAGUUCUACUUAUGUUGCUCAUCACCAGUGAAAUUGAAACUGUGAAAACCUUGGGGCUGGCUGUGCAAAAGUGCAGACAAUGGUAGCCACUGGUAUAUUUAUCAUUAACAAAAGCACCCCCCCCCCCCUCUACACAGACGCAUGCACACGCACACACAAUGAGACUGAUUCCCCAUAGGGAAUAACAGAGAUAUGUUUAGGAGAAAGUAGUGGAAUAAACUCUUAUAUUUGUUCAGUGAAAUCAGCAAAUCCCAACUCAUAAUGUAACAGUUGACACAGGAUUCAGAAACUGUGCCAUCCCUCAAAUGUUUGUUGCAUGUUGCAUUAAUUCCUCAUCCGAAGGUGCACAUGUACCCCUCCCCUUAAAUUUUCUGUAUUUUCAGGGUUCUCAAGGCGACAUAGAUAAAAGCAAGCAAACCACUAUGGUGAUGGCUAAAAAAUAAUGAGGCGUCAUCAUCAAUGGGUGUCCAAAACAAUGCUGAUAUGUUGAUUGGUCGAUACCCCCUAGUUGAAGUACACAAUUCACAGAUGAAAGAUCUUCGUGGCUAUUUAGCCAGAGCAUGUGUUAAUGGUUUUCCUGUGAUAUCUGUGUGGGGGAUAGCUGGUGUUGGGAAAUCAGCUCUAGUCAGGAACUUAUACUAUGACAGAAUGAAUGACAGUGCCACCAGAAUAUUUACCAUGUACAGUUGGGUGGAUGUAUCACAUCCAUUCAAUUUAAGGAACUUGGCUUGGAGCUUACUUUCAGAACUUCAGUCAGAUUCUCAUCAGCAAAAUGGAAUCAGCAAUCCCAUUCAAGAUUGUCAUGAGCUUCUGGAGAAGCAUAGCUGCCUUUUCAUUAUAGAUAGUUUGCAAUCCACAGAAGAGUGGGACCUAAUACGUCAUUCCUUGGUAUCUACGCAUUCUAGAAGCAUCAUCGUUGUGCUUACAACUGAAGCAAGCAUAGCCAUACAUUGUGCAAAUCGAGAAGAGGCAAUGUAUAAUGUCAAAAGUCUAGAAGAUGACGAAGCAUGUGAUCUCUUCAAAAAGGAGGUGUGUUUUCAUACAAGAUACUUGCCUAUUCUCUUGGUUUAUACAUCUUGAUGCUCAAAUUCAAUAGUUAGUCUAUGAUUUCUCACCCCCAGCCCCCCCCCCCCCCCCCCCCUUGCCUCCCUCCACCGGGAGAAUGUUUUGCAAAACAUGAAAAAUGAUGUGAACAUUUUCUUUUGCACCAAUGUAGUUUUAUCCAAGUUUUUUUUCCCUGUUGUUAUGGUUAUCCGGACUUCUUAUAAAAGACGCAGAAUGAUCUUAUCCAAGUCUUCAGAAAAUGUACUUUAGUAUGCUUAACAAAACUCCAUAUCCAUAUGGUAUGAUAAAAGUUCAGAACAAUUCUAGGACCAUGAAUAAAAAAAUUCUCUAUUAAAGAAUUAUAUAUUCAGUAGUAUUGAUUUUAUAAACAAAUAGACAAAUUACAAUCAUACUAUCAAUAUAGAUAUGUCACAAUAUUUCAACAAAACUAUAUUUUUUUCUAAAUAAAAACUGACAGAUUAUAACAGACAACAAGCUGCGAUCCACAAUUUGAAGGAUGAAACAAACAGGGCCUUGCACAUGUAAUUUUUCCAAUUUUUCAAUGAGUUUAUGCAUGCUAACAGCACAAACUAAAACCAAAUCUAAAGUGUGAUUAGUUGAUACAAUAAUUAUUACUUUUCUUUUCUCAAACAAUGUUGGAGAGCUGCAUGUCAUUUCAUUAAGAAGGAAAAUAUAAUAAUUAUUACUAAUAUAACUUCUUUUCAAUAAUAUAGGUAGGGAAAUUUCCAGAUUCAUCUGCUUUAAGGGAUUCUGAAGAUCCCAAGCUACGAAAACUUAUUUCCAAGUGUGGCGGACUUCCCAAAGUAAAAGUUGCUGUAGCUGACUUUUUGGCACCCAUGACAGUCAGCUGGAUGAAAACUGCAAUGAAUCUUAGUGACAGAUUUAUGCAUGAUCUAGAGACCAAACCAGAAUUUGACAACCUGCGUGGACUGUGGAUGCAUUCCUACUUCCGUACUUGCCCAGAUUAUCUUAAGCCCAUGUAUCCUCUACCUAUCCAUUUUCCCGCAAGGCCAAAGCAUUCAACGAAGGCGUCUAGUGAGGCGGUGGAUCGCAGAGGGUUGCUCGAGGGACACAUCCAACAGGUCAGCUGAGGAUAAUGGGGAAAAAUUCUUCUUGAUGCUCCUUGAUCUGAGUAUCAUCCAGCAGACACCACAUUCAGUCACAACUGCAGAUACAAGAAUGGUCUUGUGCCAAGUUAACGGCUUCUUCCGUGAGUACAUCAUAUCAAGGCGAAAGGAUGAGGACAGGUGCACAUUGACCAGUCAACGCACAGGACAGCACCUUGUCAUAAAGGAAAACUGGGACAGAGACAAGAUUGUGUUCAGUAGUAUUGACUUUUCAAGGCUACGCUCCCUCGCUGUGUUUGGACAGUGGAAGCCUUUCUUCAUCAGUGAAACUAUGAGGGUGCUCCGGGUGCUUGAUCUCGAGAAUUCAACAGGUGUGACAUAUAAAUACCUGGAGCAGAUGAUGAAGCUGCUUCCUCGCCUCAAGUUCCUCUCUCUGAGAGGAAUAAGAGAGAUCUACUAUCUGCCAGGCUCAUUUGCUGGUCUGAGGCAGCUUGAAACUCUGGAUGUCAGGGGCACCUCCAUAGUCACUUUGCCACCAUCCAUCACCAAGCUUACCAAGCUGCAGUACAUCCGUGCUGGCACAGCUAAGGAACCAUCAGUACCAUAUGCUCAUUUCUCUUGGUUGCCUAGCUGCUGUAGAUCUUGUCAUGUAGGUGUUAUUAAGGUGCCUGCAGAGAUUGAUAAACUUACAGCCUUGCACACUCUUGGUGCUGUCAACAUUGGUUUUUCAGGGGGAGAGGCCAUCCUGAAAGAGCUCAAGAAGCUCACUCAAUUGCACAAGCUCGAAGUGACCGGCAUCAACAAGAAAAACAGCAAAGAGUUCUGUUCCACCAUCUCAGACCACGUUCAUUUGGAAUCCUUAUCAGUUUGGCUCUGCAUGGGCAAUAACAAACCAUGUUUGAAUGACAUGUUCUGGCCUCCGCAGAAACAUCUGGAAAAACUUCAGAGCCUUAAACUAUAUGGUCUUGCAAAAGUGGUGCCACCAUGGAUCAAAGAUCUUGCUAAACUCACAAAGUUACAUGUGAAUAUGGCCAUAUAAAAAAUGUUAACAUAAGUGAAGUUCUUGGGGAAAUAAAAGGACUAUGUAUUCUGCGUCUUGAUAUCAGGCCACUUGAAAAUGGUGAUGGUGACCUUAACUUCUGUGUCAAGGUGAAUGGAGUAGAGCAGCAGUUAUUUGAACGUCAGGAUACUUGAGAUUGCUUGUAACUCUGAGUUAAAUGUAUCCUUUGGAUCAUUAGCAAUGGAAAAUCUGCUGACAGCUAAAUGCUGUGGGUCGGCAGUGAAGUUUGCUGAGCUAAAGAGUCUCUCUAAAGGAAAACUCCAGGAGGUGCGGUAUUUGGGUUCCUUUAACAAAACAGAUAAGGUGGACGUGGAGAAUCAACUUAGCCAGCAUCCUAAGACACCUGCUUUGAAACUGGAGGAACCAUGUUUGUCCUGAUGCAUACUGACAAUCGGUCUGCUGCUUGCUGAUUCUGGCACCAGAGCAGGACCAGGACUAAAUGACUGGUGUUUUUCAUUUAAACCUUCCCGAUUCAUUUACCUACACUCUAGGCAUUUGAACUAAAACAUCUGCGUCCAUGGCAGUGUAAAGAUAAUUGUUGCUUCUCGAUGUCAAAAUCUACUUGGAGAAAACUAAGGGGUGAACAUAUAUAGCAAAAAUGCUGAAUUGACUCGAGUGUGUUUACUCUGUACUGCAAAAGUUUUAUGCAUCUGUGGUAUAUAAUGGACGUGUGCAUUGACACUGUAAUUCAAUUAUCUUAUUUUAAUUUCAUGCUUGCUGUCCCCUGAUUCCUUGCGUGAUAUUCUGUAGAUGUCGUCUCUCAUAGUUUCUUAUUACUGGUUCAUGUUAAUUCCAGGUCUCAUGGAGUUGAUAUGUCGAUGUGCCUAAAGUUUUGACCAAUUGUAGGAACCGAUCUUUCUCCAUUAGAGUACACGAUCUCUUGUGCUAGGUGCUAUGCACAUCUGAUUUGUGCUAGUCCAUCAAAACGUGCUCCUGCACAGGCAAGUAAUCCUAAGCGACAAGGAUAAAUGUGAUACCCAUAGCUAACCAGAAUUGCAUAUCUUUUUUUUACAUUUGUUCUUAUUUUAAUACUUUCUCAUCUUUGUCUGGUUGUAAUAGAGUUUAGCACCAACUAAAUAUAUGCUUUCCUAUGCCCAUUCAUAGUUUUUCACUUUUCUAUCACACAUCGAUGCGUGUGUGACAUAUGUUUAGUUCAGACUUACGUUACAUCCAUUGCUUCAUACAUACAAGUAUACAUGGUGUAACAAAGAUCAUAAAUCUAUGUGUUGAGUUGGGCCUUGUUUAGAUGCGAAAACUUUUUGGAUUUCACUACUGUAGCACUUUUGUUUGUUUGUUUGUGACAAAUAUUGUCCAAUCAUAGACUAACUAGGGUUAAAAGAUUCGUCUCGCGAUUUACAGUCAAACUGUGUAAUUAGUUUUUGUUUUUGUCUAUAUUUAAUACUUUAUGCAUGUGUUGCAAGAUUCGAUGUGACGGAGAAUCUUGAAAACAUUUUGGUUUUUGGGGUGAACUAAACAAGGCCUUAGUUUUUUCCCCCUAUAUUAAUAAUGGCUGAAGAUGGCAAGUAGGAAAAACAAUUACUUGGGGACAUUAUCUUUAAAAUGACGAGGCAGGCAUUUAGAUCCAUAUGUCUUCCUUUAUUUAAUUUAUUUUUACUAAUGGUGGAAGCCAGUGACUUGUAUGAGAAUUUAGAAGACUACUAUAGAUUAUUUUUCAUAAUUUUAUAAUGUUAGGAACAUUAGGGGCACCAUAUAUUGACCAAUGCCCAUGACAAAAAUCUGAAUUUUAAAGUGCACCAUAUAUGAAAUCAUAUGUGGCACAGAGGCUGUUUGGACCUAGAAGUCUUGGGUUUCUUUAGUAAACUUUAAUUUUCCAAGGACAAGGCUAUCUAAAAAUUCCCAUCUCACUGGCCCAGUAAACUGCAAGCAAUGUUUCUCAGAGAAGCAACACGCAAGGUUACAAGUUAAGCAUCAACAAGUAAACUAGAUCUAGAAUAAAUAACAGACCCUCUUGUCUACGAAGCACGAAACAGAGGAACAACUUCCAAUCCGCAAAUCCCAUCUCCUGUACCCUCCCCUGCUUGCUUUGUAAAAGGGAAAAAAAGAGCAAGAAUUUAGUAUACCUUGGGCCAGAAGGACGUACUGGGGCAACAGGAAGAUGCGAUGCGACGCGACGUGCAGGUGUGGACGCCCUUCCGCCUCUUGAAGCUCAAUCUGCUAGUCUGCUACCGGAUUCCGUGGACAGGGGCUGCAGUGUCAUGGCUUAGUUGUGCUCGGCGGCUGUGGGGAUUCCGUGGAGUAGCGAGAGCGGAAUCUGGGGAGGGUGUUGAGCACCGUUGGCGGACGCUGGGACUGGGAAUUGGGGAACGCCGGCCGGCGGCGGGGCCCUGUAUUGCCUGGCCUGCGCAGCAACUCCAGCAACGCUGAAAGCGCACGAGCUAACCAAUUUCUCAAAGCAAACAACAGCCCGUUGAGGCUCGUGGUGAUGGUACUCGAGUUUAACUCUAGACAACUAUGAGGAAGAUGGUUUUUCAUGUAUGCCAUUAACCAAGAUGGUCCCUUACUCCAUACCAUUAAAAAGUUAGAACCGGCCAAA
This 7554-nucleotide long non-coding RNA is filed under the name Sorghum bicolor (sorghum). Its description in RNAcentral is "long non-coding RNA (SBIC_LNC007998)". Lineage: Eukaryota; Viridiplantae; Streptophyta; Magnoliopsida; Poales; Poaceae. The record is from RNAcentral.